AGCAGCCGCGGUAAUUCCAGCUCCAAUAGCGUAUAUUAAAGUUGUUGCAGUUAAAAAGCUCGUAGUUGAACUUCGGGAUCAAUGGAUUGGUCAUGCCGAUGGUGUGUACUGGUCAUAUUGGUUCUCACCUUCUAAGGAACCAUAAUGUCAUUUAUUUGAUGUUGUGGGGAAUUAGGACUGUUACCUUGAAAAAUUAGAGUGUUUAAAGCAGGCUAACGCUUGAAUACAUUAGCAUGGAAUAAUGAAAUAGGACAUCGCAUUCUAUUUUGUUGGUUUCUAGGAUCGAUGUAAUGAUUAAUAGGGAUAGUUGGGGGCAUUAGUAUUCAAUUGUCAGAGGUGAAAUUCUUGGAUUUAUUGAAGACUAACUACUGCGAAAGCAUUUGCCAAGAAUGUUUUCAUUAAUCAAGAACGAAAGUUAGGGGAUCGAAGACGAUCAGAUACCGUCGUAGUCUUAACCAUAAACUAUGCCGACUAGGGAUCGGAUGAUGUUGAUUUUU
RNAcentral lists this unclassified non-coding RNA (497 nucleotides) under uncultured Glomus. Its description in RNAcentral is "SSU rRNA". It matches the Rfam family "Eukaryotic small subunit ribosomal RNA", at positions 569 to 1071 of the family's 1831-position model. The record is from RNAcentral. RNAcentral also lists the same sequence under 1 other name. Lineage: Eukaryota; Fungi; Glomeromycota; Glomeromycetes; Glomerales; Glomeraceae.